RNAcentral lists this ribosomal RNA (1243 nucleotides) under metagenome. Its description in RNAcentral is "bacterial LSU rRNA". It matches the Rfam family "Bacterial large subunit ribosomal RNA", at positions 1564 to 2816 of the family's 2925-position model. The record is from RNAcentral.
UGAAUACGAGGCACUAAGGUGCUGAAGUAGUGUAUGUCAUACUUCCAAGAAAAGCUUGCACUACCGUAAGAUAAAAAUGCCUGUACCAUAACCGACACAGGUGGGUAGGUAGAGUAUACUAAGGGGCGCGAGAUAACUCUCUCUAAGGAACUCGGCAAAAUAACUCCGUAACUUCGGGAGAAGGAGUGCCUUAUUCUAUAAGGUUGCAAUAACAAGAUCCAAGCAACUGUUUAUCAAAAACACAGGUCUCCGCUAAGUCGUAAGACGAUGUAUGGGGGCUGACGCCUGCCCAGUGCCAGAAGGUUAAAGAAGUCGGUUAGCAAUUGCGAAGCUGGUAACUGAAGCCCUGGUGAACGGCGGCCGUAACUAUAACGGUCCUAAGGUAGCGAAAUUCCUUGUCGGGUAAGUUCCGACCCGCACGAAAGGCGUAAUGAUUUGGAUACUGUCUCGGAGAGGACUCGGUGAAAUAGACUUGUCUGUGAAGAUGCGGACUACCUGCACCAGGACAGAAAGACCCUAUGAAGCUUUACUGUAACUUGAAAUUGAAAUUGGACUUUAUUCGCGCAGUAUAGGUGGGAGGCGUUGAUUAUAAUCUUGUGGGAUUAUUGGAGCCAUUAGUGAGAUACCACUCUUGUAAUGUUAGAUUUCUAACUUUGAAUCAUGAUCUGGUCAAAGAACAGUUUCAGGCGGGCAGUUUGACUGGGUCGGUCGCCUCCUAAAUGGUAACGGAGGCGUACAAAGGUUUCCUCUGAACGGGUAGAAAUCGUAUCUAGAGUGUAAAGGCAUAAGGAAGCUUGACUGUGAGACCUACAAGUCGAGCAGGGACGAAAGUCGGUCUUAGUGAUCUGACGGUACUGAGUGGAAAGGCCGUCACUCAACGGAUAAAAGUUACUCUAAGGAUAACAGGCUGAUCUCCCCCAAGAGUUCACAUCGACGGGGAGGUUUGGCACCUCGAUGUCGGCUCAUCGCAUCCUGGGGCGGUAGUACGUCCCAAGGGUUGGGCUGUUCGCCCAUGAAAGCGGUACGCGAGCUGGGUUCAGAACGUCGUGAGACAGUUCGGUCCAUAUCCGGUGUAGGCGUUAGAAUAUUGAGAGGAGCCUUCUUUAGUACGAGAGGACCGAGAAGGACAUACCUCUGGUGUACCAGUUAUCGUGCCAACGGUAAACGCUGGGUAGCUAUGUAUGGAGUGGAUAACCGCUGAAAGCAUCUAAGUGGGAAGCCCACCUCAAGAUAAGUAUUCUCA